This 253-nucleotide ribosomal RNA is filed under the name uncultured bacterium. RNAcentral's name for it is "partial 16S ribosomal RNA". It matches the Rfam family "Bacterial small subunit ribosomal RNA", at positions 524 to 776 of the family's 1533-position model. The record is from RNAcentral.
UACGUAGGGGGCAAGCGUUGUCCGGAAUCAUUGGGCGUAAAGAGCGCGUAGGCGGUCCGGUAAGUCCGCUCUGAAAGUCCGGGGCUCAACCCCGGGAGGCGGGCGGAUACUGUCGGGCUAGAGUACGGAAGAGGCGAGUGGAAUUCCUGGUGUAGCGGUGAAAUGCGCAGAUAUCAGGAAGAACACCAAUGGCGAAAGCAGCUCUCUGGGACGGUACUGACGCUGAGACGCGAAAGCGUGGGGAGCGAACAGG